ACACAAUUGGGCCUUGCGCUAAGGACGUUUCUGCCUUAUCUACUCAGAGUCUUGAAACUGCAAUCCCGAUCUAGUGCUAGUCCGAUCUAUCAGCCUCCUCCUCACCGCCUCGUCUCCCACCGCCGCACCCCUUCCUCUCAUCGGCUCUUCCUCCUCCUUCGAUGACCUCACCAUCCAGGCGCAUCUCUACUCGGCUGCCCUUGCCAGUGUCGCCGAGGGGAAGCCGGCGGUCCUUGUCGGAGGAAUUAUGGGCGGCGGAUCAACACAACUUGCGCUCGGCGGCCUCUGCUCUGAUGGAGGUACUGGCGGGGUUGUGGAACAAGAACCCAUCCGACUCCAUACCUGCGCCGGAGAUCGAGAGAAUCAGACGCACGUCCGACUGCCAGGUCCCAGCACCCAGCUGCCUCCAUCGCCACGGCCUAGGGUUUCUUCAUUCCGUGUUGACAUCGUUGUCUUGCCGCCGCCAUUCAUGUGUCGCUGCUGUCAUGCGAUACUUAUGUUUGCCCCCAGCUGUUGCUUCCUCGAUUCAAACAACCAGAUAAAAUCCCGUCUACUCCUGUGUGCUUGUAAUGGGCGAACUGAAUACCGUGCACUGAAGAUUUGGGUUUGGCGCUAUCUACAGGGAGACAUGGAUUACAUGACUAAUUUGUUUGCUUUGCAAUUAUUGUGCCUACGAGAUGUGGUUUGAUGCUACCAAUUCCUUGUCACUUUCUGCUAAUCUUUUGUAUUCAACAUUCCAUGCCAGGUCUCUCGUUCAUUAAUCUGCAUAACUGAAUCUGAAAAGUCGAUAUGUAAUGAGAAGAGACGUGCGAAGGACUGGAGGUUUUUACUGCUACCUCAGAUUGAUUCAUUAGUACUGAUUGCCUUAUGUGUGCAGCCUGCAGGUUUCUUUUCGGCUAUUUUGAUAAUGUGACACCUUCCUAACUAUAGCUAGGUGAUUCGAGACAGCAACACGAGCAGAAUAGGAAGUGCUACUCGAUGCUGUAUCCUAAUAUUGCACUUUCUGUGUGUAUAUGAUCAACUAGUGCACAACAAGGUUAUUUCUCAUAGCUUCUUGCUUAUUAUCCUAUGAUCUAGUAGAUGUGUAUACUGCAGAGCAUAAUUGUACACAUCGGAAAACCGUUAUUUUUGCUUGUCGUUUGACAACCUGCAUGAGUUUUUGUUGGAAUACAUGUUUACCUUAAGUUAUUGCUUAGUAGCAUCCUGUUGUCGACUUGGAUCACUCCUACAGAAUUUAUAUGCAUUAGUUUUGAUUUAAUGACUUUGCUGCACAUUGAGUAUCCAAUGCUAGAUGAUCUGCACAAAGGUUCUAAUGAAUGGAUUUUACAUUGGCAUGUUUGAGUUUGUAGCAGAAGAAGGCAUGUUCAUUAUGCCCUACCGGGAGGUAAUAUAAUGAAUGGAUAUUCUGCAAUCAGCGUCCAGGCCAUGGGGAAGAAGGCAUAAUAGAUGUUUUUAUUUUUAUUUCUUAGAUUAGAUUAAGGUAUGAGUAAACCUGUGCCACGAAACUUGUGGAUAACAGGUUGAUCUAAUGUCCAUUUUGUAAUUUGUAUCAAUCCGAUGUAUGUAACUCAGAUGGAUGUAUGUAACUCAGAUUGGAUUUAUAAAUUUUAAUUAAUAAAAGGUUAAUAAUUUAUUCAAGCAUA
Lolium perenne is the source of this 1643-nucleotide long non-coding RNA. RefSeq lists it as uncharacterized. NCBI's taxonomy places the organism in Eukaryota, Viridiplantae, Streptophyta, Magnoliopsida, Poales, Poaceae. The record is from RefSeq and is a predicted model, not a curated record.